AAAAUACAAAAAUUAGACAGGCGUGGUGGUGCAUGCCUGUAGUCCCAGCUACUUGGGAGGCUGAGGCAGGAGACUCGCUUGAACCCAGGAGGUGGAGGUUUCAGUGAGCCAAGAUCACACCACUGCACUCCAGCCUGGGUGACAGAGCAAGACUCCAUCUCAACAAAAUAAAAAUAAAUUACCCAGUCUCAGGUAUUUCUUUAUAGCAAUGAAAGAAUGGCCUAAUACACCUGAUUUGAGCCUUUCCAUUCUAGGAAGAUAAUGGGUGAGGUACUAGAGGUACUAUGAUCAAAGUCUGUACAACUAUUAGCAGGGAGAUACUGUUUGCCAAUGUCCCAAAUUAGUCUUAUAUGUGGGUAUAAUAAAAAGUACUACUUCACUGGGGCCAGGUGCAGUGGCUCACACUUAUAAUCCCAGUACUUUGGGAGGCUGAGGCAGGAACAUUGCUUGAGGUCAGGAGUUCAAGUCCACCCUGGGCAACAUAGUAAGAUCCUGUCUCUAAGAAAUUUUUAAAAAUUAGCUGGGUGUGCCGGUAUGCACCUCUAGCCCUAGCUACUUAGGAGGCUGCUGUGAGAGGGUGGCUUGAGCCGAGGAGUUUCAAGAUUACAGUGAGCUAUGAUUGUGCCACUGUACUCCAGCACUCCAACCUGGGUGAUAGAGUGAGAUGCUGUCUAAAAAAAAAAAAAAAAAAACAAAAAAACCUACCUCACAUAGAAGUCCGCAAGCAUACUAACCCCCCUGAAUGUAAUCUGCCUUAAAUCUACAUUAAACUCAGCAUCAGCAGUCACUGGGGCUAGAAUCUCUCAACUGGCCUCACUGACCUGUCUCGGUUUCAGGCACACUUCUGCCACUAGCUAUGUCACCCCACUUAUGGCAGCCUCUCAGGGCCUUUGAAGUCAGGAAACUGAGGCAGCAAAAUGGUGUUCCUGGAUUUGUUCUUUCAAAACAUAUCUGAGUGGUGUAAGAGUUGAAGAAAGAAGAAAGAAACAUGAAAAGUGGCUUAACAGUCAAACAUGGGCUUAUUUUGGAGUAUAAACCUGAGAGGGGCUUCUGGCCAACUUAGGUCAGGAGCCUUUUCUCUUACAGACUAUGAGUAUUUAAGAGUUCAGGGUGGGAGAGCUUAUCACAGGCUCGGAAUGUUUCUGUGUCUCUUUGUCUUGCUUACCUGGGAGGGAGAGUUGUGUGUCUGUUCCCAUACAUCUUCCUGCAGCUGCAGGCAUCCCCCCACCCCCUGAGUCUGCUUUUAGCUUCCUUAUCUUAGUGCACCUAGAGGGAAAGGAAUGUGCUUAUUAGGGCCCACUGUUUUACUGGGGCUCAUUGUAUGAGUGUGAAGUUGGGUGGUUACCCGAGACUUUCUCCCUCCUUCUGUGCCUGAGCUGUCUUAUCUGUGCUUACUGUCUGCUCUUUCUGGCUGCUUGUCAUUAGAAGAGAAGUGAUUUCCUUAAGACGCAUGAGGUUUGAAAGGGAGCUGGAACGUAAAGUGGUGUUUGUCCAAGACAACGGUGCUCCUGCUCUGUGAAGUGGCUCCUCUGCACUAGGCACAAUUCUAGACACUGAGGGUAUGGUAUUGAGGACAGACAUCAAUCCCUACCCUCAUGGAGCUUACAUUCUAAUAGCAGAGAAAGAAAGUAAACAAUAUACAUAAGUGAAACACAGAGUAUGUUAGGUAGUGGUCAAUGCAAAGGAGAAAAAUGUAGAAGGGAAGUGAUGUGGGGUGAGGAGGAGCAGCUACAAUUUUAAAUAAAGUAGGCCUCACUAAGGUGAUAUCACUAAGGUGUUAUACUGUCACCUGGUAUCACUUUGGUGAGGUCUUCUCUGGCUACUUUACCUAAGUAAGUUAUCAAAUAUUUAUCAAUUACACCUGUAAUCCCCACACUUUGGGAGGUGUGGAUCUGUAGUUCCAGUUCCUCAGGAGGCUGAGGUGGGAGGAUCUCUUGAGUCCAGGAGUUUGAGGCUGCAGGGAGCUGUGAUCGCACAGUACUUCAGCCUGGGUGACAGAGCGAGACCUUGUAUAAAGGUAUGAUUUAUAUUUAUAUUUACCAAAUUUAUUUAUAUUUAUAUUUACCAAAUUUAUAUUUACCUGAUUUAUAUUUACCAAAUAUUUUAUUUGAGUAAAGACUUGAAAGAAGUGAGAGAGAAAGUCAGGAAAGUCUCUGAGGAAACAGCAUUACAGGCUAAGGAAAUAGCAAGUGCCAAGGCCCUGACAUGGGAGCAGGCAUGGGUUACUCAAGGCCAUCGAGGCCAGGGUGGCUCGGAGCUGAAGGGUGGGAAAGCAGGAAGUGAAGGAGAGAGAGCCACAGGAGCCUUGGAGGCAUUAUAAGGACUUCAGCUUUUACUUUGAGUGAGAUAGGAACCCACUGAAGGGUUUGGAGGAGAGGCCUGAUCUGAUUCAACACAAUUAUGUUGGCUGUUGUGCUAAGAGUGGACAAGACAGGUAGGUAGGCAGGAAGGCAGGUAGGUAGGUAGGUAGGUAGGUAGGCAGGCAGAUAGGUAGGUAGGCAGGCAGUAGGUAGGUAGGUAGGUAGGUAGGCAGGCAGAUAGGUAGGUAGGUAGGUAGGCAGGCAGGCAGGUAGGUAUGUAGGUAGGUAGGUAGGCAGGCAGGCAGGUAGGGAGGCAGACAGGCAGAGUAGGGAGGCAGGUAGGUAGUCAGGUAGCCAAGGGCAGGAGCAGGGAGACCUGUUGCAAUAAUCCGGGCAGAAGAAAUGGUGCCUGGGACCACGGUUACAAAAAUGAUCAGAUAACGAAUAUAUUUUGAAGUACAGUUGAUAGGAUUCUGGAAUG
This 2781-nucleotide long non-coding RNA is filed under the name Homo sapiens (human). RNAcentral describes it as "HSALNT0002122". The record is from RNAcentral. Lineage: Eukaryota; Metazoa; Chordata; Mammalia; Primates; Hominidae.